GAUGAAGAACGUAGCGAAAUGCGAUACUUGGUGUGAAUUGCAGAAUCCCGUGAACCAUCGAGUCUUUGAACGCAAGUUGUGCCCGAAGCCAUCAGGUUGAGGGCACGUCUGCCUGGGCGUCACAUAUCGUUGCCCAAUGCCUAUUGCAGUGCAAUAGGAAUUUCUAGGGCGAAUGAUGGCUUCCCGUGAGCGUUGUUGCCUCGCGGUUGGUUGAAAAUCGAGUCCUUGGUAGGGUGUGCCAUGGUAGAUGGUGGUCGAGUUAGAACGAUACCGAUCAUGUGCAUGCUCCCCAAAAUAUGGCCUCUAUGACCCACACGCGUCUUUUGACGCUCAUGACGAGACCUCAGGUCAGGCGGGGCUACCCGCUGAAUUUAAGCAUAUCAAUAGCGGAGGA
This 394-nucleotide unclassified non-coding RNA is filed under the name soil metagenome. Its description in RNAcentral is "partial contains 5.8S ribosomal RNA, internal transcribed spacer 2, and large subunit ribosomal RNA". The stretch from base 1 to 122 matches the Rfam family "5.8S ribosomal RNA", at positions 35 to 154 of the family's 154-position model. The record is from RNAcentral.